CUCCCUCCCUGCCUCCCUGCCUCCCUGCCUGCCUCCCUCAUAAACACGGAAACACCAGGAAGCUGUUUGAGUGGAUGAGGCUGGCACGUACACUUCAGUCUGGUGACCAUCUUGAUUGGCAGCACCAUGGGAAACUCAACACUUGGAUAAAGAGCAGUGCAUAUGGUGAAUAUGGGAGACAAAUUUUGAAGCUGUAAUUCAGGUUGUCCAGCCUGUCUGUCCAUCCAGCCUGGAUCCUGGGAAGCCUGCUGGUGAAGACAUGACUCUCCAAGAGGGACUGCUGAAGUCACUUGAAGGAUGUCACACAAUGAGAUAUUCCAUGGGAGCCUGCUGCCUACGGCUGACACUUUGUUGAUAAGCCUUGUUUUUAAUUUCUCUGCUUUUCACCCCAAGGAAAUGUAAGAAUAUUUUCACACAUGUAGCGUUUCCAAGAAAAUGUUAAGGCAGCAUCAAGUAUUUGGGAGACAAAUUAAGGAAGAUUUAUACAAGACAAGCCAGUAAGAAUGAUGAGAAAAACAGUGCUGAGAGAAGAAAUAUUUCUGAGAAUUCUAGAUAUUCCCACUGUUGCUAUCAGCAAGUGGCCUAUAUUGUCACACUUGUGUGUUAAAUAAAUGCAGUGUGUUAAA
Molecule: long non-coding RNA, 626 nt
Organism: Cyanistes caeruleus (blue tit)
Lineage: Eukaryota; Metazoa; Chordata; Aves; Passeriformes; Paridae
Source: RefSeq, a predicted model, not a curated record